UCAUCCCGGCCGCGCGCCAGGAAGGAGGCUCGGCCUCCUCCUCCUCCGCCCGUGCGCCAGGAAGGAGGCGUCGACCUCCCCCUCCCUGCCGCUGGCCGGCCGCCUCCUCCUCCUCCUCCUCCUCCCGGACGUGCGCAAGGAAGGAGGCGCCGGCCUCCCCCUCCUCUCGGUCGCCGCCGGCCUCCUCCACCACGGCCUCCGUCGUCCCGCCAUGGCCGCUGGCACAAUAGCCUCCCCAUCUCCUAUUUCUUAUGGUUUUGGUCAAAUUAGAUAUGGAAGUGGUGAAUUUCGGUUGUGUGUGAUGAAAUUGAAUGAAAAUAUGUGAAAUUUGAUGAUGGUUUGUCAAUUUGGAUGGAGAAAUUUGAAAGAAGAUGAAAUAGGGGCCGGAAAUUAGG
RNAcentral lists this long non-coding RNA (395 nucleotides) under Brachypodium distachyon (stiff brome). Its description in RNAcentral is "long non-coding RNA (BDIS_LNC001197)". The record is from RNAcentral. Lineage: Eukaryota; Viridiplantae; Streptophyta; Magnoliopsida; Poales; Poaceae.